RNAcentral lists this ribosomal RNA (373 nucleotides) under uncultured Glomeromycotina. RNAcentral describes it as "LSU rRNA". The record is from RNAcentral. Lineage: Eukaryota; Fungi; Glomeromycota.
UUGAAAGGGAAACGAUUGAAGUCAGUCGUACCAGCGGGAAAUCAACCUUUCGAGUGGGGUUUUGGAGUUUUUUGAAGAGUGUCAAAACCUUUAUUUCAAAAUAUUCGCUCUUUUGGUGUACUUUCUCGUGGGUAGGUUAACAUCGAUUUUGAUCAUCAUAAAAAGAUUGGAGGAAUGUAGCUUCGAUCUUGUAUUGAAGUGUUAUAGCCUUUGGUAAAUGUGAUGAUUAGGAUCGAGGAUUGCAACGAAUGCCCUUUUGGGCUAUCCGCCUGAUCUCUGAUACGUGGCCUUGGUAUCGAAAGCUUGCUUAUGGUAUUGAGGUAUUACGGUCAAAAGGUUAGAACGGAUUACAUUCGUUAAGGAUGUUGACGUA